AACGAACGCUGGCGGCAUGCCUAGCACAUGCAAGUCGAACGAGACCUUCGGGUCUAGUGGCGCACGGGUGCGUAACGCGUGGGAAUCUGCCCUUGGGUUCGGAAUAACAGUUGGAAACGACUGCUAAUACCGGAUGAUGACGUAAGUCCAAAGAUUUAUCGCCCAGGGAUGAGCCCGCGUAGGAUUAGCUAGUUGGUGGGGUAAAGGCCUACCAAGGCGACGAUCCUUAGCUGGUCUGAGAGGAUGAUCAGCCACACUGGGACUGAGACACGGCCCAGACUCCUACGGGAGGCAGCAGUGGGGAAUAUUGGACAAUGGGCGAAAGGCUGAUCCAGCAAUGCCGCGUGAGUGAUGAAGGCCUUAGGGUUGUAAAGCUCUUUUACCCGGGAUGAUAAUGACAGUACCGGGAGAAUAAGCCCCGGCUAACUCCGUG
This 433-nucleotide ribosomal RNA is filed under the name uncultured bacterium. Its description in RNAcentral is "partial 16S ribosomal RNA". It matches the Rfam family "Bacterial small subunit ribosomal RNA", at positions 29 to 507 of the family's 1533-position model. The record is from RNAcentral.